UACCCGCAAAAAGCCCCGGCUAACUUCGUGCCAGCCCGCGGUAAGAAGGGGGCUAGCGUUGCUCGGAAUCACUGGGCGUAAAGCGCACGUAGGCGGCUUUUUAAGUCAGGGGUGAAAUCCUGGAGCUCAACUCCAGAACUGCCUUUGAUACUGAGAAGCUUGAGUCCGGGAGAGAGUGGAACUGCGAGUUAGAGGUGAAAUUCGUAGAUAUUCGCAAGAACACC
Molecule: ribosomal RNA, 224 nt
Filed under: uncultured bacterium
Lineage: Bacteria
Description: partial 16S ribosomal RNA
Rfam family: Bacterial small subunit ribosomal RNA
Source: RNAcentral